This is a long non-coding RNA of Etheostoma spectabile (orangethroat darter), 173 nucleotides long. RefSeq lists it as uncharacterized. The transcript has 3 exons. NCBI's taxonomy places the organism in Eukaryota, Metazoa, Chordata, Actinopteri, Perciformes, Percidae. The record is from RefSeq and is a predicted model, not a curated record.
UGUCAUUAUACCAUGGUCUGGGUGAAUACUCAAUUCCGAUUGGCUGCAGGGUGUCCAUAAAAAAGUGACACCAGCUAAAGCAGUUACGGUGAAACUGACUGUUUACUGUUCUAAAUUGAUGCGCUACAUUAAAACAAAAAGGAAAUGUGAAUUUGUUUUUUCCAACUGUUGCU